AUUGAACGCUGGCGGUAUGCCUAACACAUGCAAGUCGAACGGCAGCACAGUAAGAGCUUGCUCUGACGGGUGGCGAGUGGCGGACUGGUGAGGAAUACAUCGGAAUCUACUUUUUCGUGGGGGAUAACGUAGGGAAACUUACGCUAAUACCGCAUACGACCUACGGGUGAAAGCAGGGGAUCUUCGGACCUUGCGCGAUUGAAUGAGCCGAUGUCGGAUUAGCUAGUUGGCGGGGUAAAGGCCCACCAAGGCGACGAUCCGUAGCUGGUCUGAGAGGAUGAUCAGCCACACUGGAACUGAGACACGGUCCAGACUCCUACGGGAGGCAGCAGUGGGGAAUAUUGGACAAUGGGCGCAAGCCUGAUCCAGCCAUACCGCGUGGGUGAAGAAGGCCUUCGGGUUGUAAAGCCCUUUUGUUGGGAAAGAAAAGCAGCAGGUUAAUACCCAGCUGUUCUGACGGUACCCAAAGAAUAAGCACCGGCUAACUUCGUG
Molecule: ribosomal RNA, 492 nt
Filed under: uncultured bacterium
Lineage: Bacteria
Description: partial 16S ribosomal RNA
Rfam family: Bacterial small subunit ribosomal RNA
Source: RNAcentral